UGUGGUGUUCAUACCGAGGAGGAUACACCCGUUCCCAUUCCGAACACGGAAGUUAAGCUCCUCAGGGUCGAUGGUACUCGAUGAAAAUCGGGGAGAGUAGAACGAUGCCACGG
Molecule: ribosomal RNA, 113 nt
Filed under: Candidatus Terrybacteria bacterium RIFCSPHIGHO2_01_FULL_58_15
Lineage: Bacteria; Candidatus Terryibacteriota
Also listed under: 1 other name
Source: RNAcentral